This 440-nucleotide ribosomal RNA is filed under the name uncultured bacterium. Its description in RNAcentral is "partial 16S ribosomal RNA". It matches the Rfam family "Bacterial small subunit ribosomal RNA", at positions 338 to 795 of the family's 1533-position model. The record is from RNAcentral.
CCUACGGGGAGCUGCAGUGGGGAAUAUUGCACAAUGGGGGAAACCCUGAUGCAGCGACGCCGCGUGAGUGAAGAAGUAUUUCGGUAUGUAAAGCUCUAGCAGCAGGGAAGAAAAUGACGGUACCUGAUUAAGAAGCCCCGGCUAACUACGUGCCAGCAGCCGCGGUAAUACGUCGGGGGCAAGCGUUAUCCGGAUUUACUGGGUGUAAAGGGAGCGUAGACGGCAGCACCAGUCUGGAGUGAACUGCCGGGGCUGAACCCCGGAACUGCUUUGGAAACUGUGCAGCUAGAGUGCAUGAGAGGUCAGUGGAAUUCCUCGUGUCGCGGUCAAAUGCGUAGCUCUUAGGAGGAACACCAGUGGCGAAGGCGGCUUACUGGACUGUAACUGACGUUGAGGCUCGAAAGCGUGGGGAGCAAACCGGAUUCGAUACCCUUGUAGUC